Molecule: ribosomal RNA, 250 nt
Filed under: uncultured bacterium
Lineage: Bacteria
Description: partial 16S ribosomal RNA
Rfam family: Bacterial small subunit ribosomal RNA
Source: RNAcentral
UGGGGAAUUUUGGACAAUGGGCGCAAGCCUGAUCCAGCAAUGCCGCGUGCAGGAUGAAGGCCUUCGGGUUGUAAACUGCUUUUGUACGGAGCGAAAAGGUUCUUUUUAAUACAAGGAACUCAUGACGGUACCGUAAGAAUAAGCACCGGCUAACUACGUGCCAGCAGCCGCGGUAAUACGUAGGGUGCGAGCGUUAAUCGGAAUUACUGGGCGUAAAGCGUGCGCAGGCGGUUUUGUAAGACAGAUGUGA